This is a non-coding RNA of Camellia sinensis, 482 nucleotides long. The record is from RefSeq and is a predicted model, not a curated record. NCBI's taxonomy places the organism in Eukaryota, Viridiplantae, Streptophyta, Magnoliopsida, Ericales, Theaceae.
GACUUCCUUUCCAUGAGUUGAGGCAAGUUCAAUUAUGGUAGACAUACUAGGUUAUGUGAGAGCCUGCUUGCAAACUGGGAAACUUGUUUUCUUGGCAAUUUUGGUCGCUGGAGGAAUUGUCUUGCAAGUUUUGGCUUGUGCUUUGUACAAUAAUUGGUGGCCAAUGCUAACAGGAUCAUCAUGAGAAAGCAUUAAAAAUCACAAUUUACUUUGGUAUUAAUGGACAGAUUAGGUCCUCGAUGGAUUAGGCCCCGUCCACCAAGGCUCCCAAUAUUACCAUCGAUGGAGAGAUAAUACACGUAUUAAGGGAUCCUUAUUCAAUUAAUUUGUGGAAUGUAUUCAUUUUAAAAACUUAUCCAUGUCAAGUUUCUUCCAGCUCGUGUGGCUCAACUUUGGUAAUAAUCAUGAGCUUUUAUGGGAUUAUGGAAUGUGUGCUGAUACUAGCAGAGGGGCUGCAGUUAGAUUACUAGCAGAGGGGCUGA